UUACAAUGGCAGGUACAGAGGGGUGCUACCGGGUGACCGGAUGCCGAUCUCGAAAACCUGUCCCAGUUCGGACUGGAGUCUGCAACCCGACUCCACGAAGUUGGAUUCGCUAGUAAUCGCGCAUCAGCCAUGGCGCGGUGAAUACGUUCCCGGGCCUUGUACACACCGCCCGUCAAGCCAUGGGAGCCGGGGGCGCCUGAAGUCCGGGACCGCGAGGACCGGCCUAGGGCGAAACUGGUGACUGGGGCUAAGUCGUAACAAGGUACC
RNAcentral lists this ribosomal RNA (267 nucleotides) under uncultured bacterium. RNAcentral describes it as "partial 16S ribosomal RNA". It matches the Rfam family "Bacterial small subunit ribosomal RNA", at positions 1225 to 1500 of the family's 1533-position model. The record is from RNAcentral.